RNAcentral lists this ribosomal RNA (253 nucleotides) under uncultured bacterium. RNAcentral's name for it is "partial 16S ribosomal RNA". It matches the Rfam family "Bacterial small subunit ribosomal RNA", at positions 524 to 776 of the family's 1533-position model. The record is from RNAcentral.
UACGUAGGUGGCGAGCGUUGUCCGGAUUUACUGGGCGUAAAGGGAGCGUAGGCGGACUUUUAAGUGAGAUGUGAAAUACUCGGGCUCAACUUGAGUGCUGCAUUUCAAACUGGAAGUCUAGAGUGCAGGAGAGGAGAAUGGAAUUCCUAGUGUAGCGGUGAAAUGCGUAGAGAUAGGGAAGAACACCAGUGGCGAAGGCGAUUCUCUGGACUGUAACUGACGCUGAGGCUCGAAAGCGUGGGGAGCAAACAGG